CAGGCUUCUUGGACUUUAUUUAUUCUAUUUCAAAUGCUUUGCAAUAGUCUCAGGAAUUAAUCAUAUUCCUCUUAAAUGAGAUGAGGAAGUUUAAAGGCUUUGUUGAGUUCACUGUGUUUUUAUGUUAUAAUCUUUCUUUAUGUUAUUGUUUUGUGUAGAAACUAGGAUGAUCUAUAUAGUUUCUUCUUCUUCAUGUUUUCUACAGUAUAUAUCUUUUACCAAACUGUACAGUAACACUUUUGAAGUAAUGAAAAUGUGUUUUUAUUUUUUUACUUUUGGACAUAUCACUCUGUUUGUUUGUUUUUCUUUUUUGCUUACAUAGCCAAUCAGGUGGAUAAGUUAAUAUUUAUCUAUUACAUAUUUGGUUUUGAAAAGUAGUGGAUACAAUAAGUUACUAAAGAGUAACUGAAAUAAUAAGUUACCUUUUCGAAAAUAUCAAAGUUACUAAAAUAUAAGUAAAAUUAAAAUAAUAAAUUACUAAAGUAAUGAGGCUACGAAUGUUAUCAAAACAAUAAGACAUAUUUUUAAAAGUAACAAAGUAUUAAGUUUCUAAAAACUAAUUAACACUAAUAUAUCACGUUGGAGUUAGUGACCGAUAGGAAAUUAAAAUAGUUUAAAAGGUUAAUUUAUGGCGAGCUGGCAAAAGAAUAAACUUAUGUGGUCUUCUUGUAUUGUGAAUCUUGUAAUACAAUCAUACAAGGUUAAUUUAUGGUCAGCUGGCAAAAGAAUAAAUUCAGAUUUUUUAAAAAUGUAUUCUCUAAAUUGGAGCCUCUUUAGAGAAAUUUUGUUUGACCAACAUUAUGCAUUAAACUUUUCCAGCUGUUUUGACUGUUAGUUUCAGUAUUUUGAUUUUUUUGUACAAUUUUUUAGGACUUGGCAUUUGGUUUAUCACAUUCAGCACUGCUUGGGGAUAAUAUCUACAACUUUGGCGAGCUGCUGGCACAUCCUAUUAGUUAAUUUAACAGAUGGUCUUGAAGGGCUGGCUGGGCGGACUGUUGCCUUGGCAUUUGUUGGAAUGUCAAUUGCAGUGCUUCCAAUAUGUCCUAGUUAGUAUGAAUCUUCUUGAAAUUAGAAUAUGAUGUUUGAAUAUUAAGAAUUAACAGUUGGAUAA
Molecule: long non-coding RNA, 1111 nt
Organism: Humulus lupulus (European hop)
Lineage: Eukaryota; Viridiplantae; Streptophyta; Magnoliopsida; Rosales; Cannabaceae
Exons: 2
Source: RefSeq, a predicted model, not a curated record